This 848-nucleotide ribosomal RNA is filed under the name uncultured crenarchaeote. RNAcentral describes it as "bacterial SSU rRNA". It matches the Rfam family "Archaeal small subunit ribosomal RNA", at positions 73 to 922 of the family's 1478-position model. The record is from RNAcentral. Lineage: Archaea; Thermoproteati; Thermoproteota.
CAUACAAGGCAUACGGCUCAGUAACGCGUAGUCAACCUAACCUAUGGACGGGAAUAACCUCGGGAAACUGAGAAUAAUGCCCGAUAGAACAUUAUGCCUGGAAUGGUUUAUGUUCCAAAUGAUUUAUCGCCGUAGGAUGGGACUGCGGCCUAUCAGUUUGUUGGUGAGGUAAUGGCCCACCAAGACUAUUACAGGUACGGGCUCUGAGAGGAGUAGCCCGGAGAUGGGUACUGAGACACGGACCCAGGCCCUAUGGGGCGCAGCAGGCGAGAAAACUUUGCAAUGUGCGAAAGCACGACAAGGUUAAUCCGAGUGGUUUCUGCUAAAGAAACCUUUUGUCAGUCCUAGAAACACUGAUGAAUAAGGGGUGGGCAAGUUCUGGUGUCAGCCGCCGCGGUAAAACCAGCACCUCAAGUGGUCAGGAUGAUUAUUGGGCCUAAAGCAUCCGUAGCCGGCUCUGUAAGUUUUCGGUUAAAUCUGUACGCUCAACGUACAGGCUGCCGGGAAUACUGCAGAGCUAGGGAGUGGGAGAGGUAGACGGUACUCGGUAGGAAGGGGUAAAAUCCUUUGAUCUAUUGAUGACCACCUGUGGCGAAGGCGGUCUACCAGAACACGUCCGACGGUGAGGGAUGAAAGCUGGGGGAGCAAACCGGAUUAGAUACCCGGGUAGUCCCAGCUGUAAACUAUGCAAACUCAGUGAUGCAUUGGCUUGUGGCCAAUGCAGUGCUGCAGGGAAGCCGUUAAGUUUGCCGCCUGGGAAGUACGUACGCAAGUAUGAAACUUAAAGGAAUUGGCGGGGGAGCACCACAAGGGGUGAAGCCUGCGGUUCAAUUGGAUUCAACGCCGGG